Molecule: ribosomal RNA, 230 nt
Filed under: uncultured bacterium
Lineage: Bacteria
Description: partial 16S ribosomal RNA
Rfam family: Bacterial small subunit ribosomal RNA
Source: RNAcentral
UGGGCAACCUGCUCCAGACUCUGGGAUAACUCCGGGAAACCGGGGCUAAUACCGGAUACUCCGAUCGGACGACAUCGUCUGACCGGGAAAGCUCCGACGGUCUGGGAUGGGCCCGCGGCCUAUCAGCUUGUUGGUGGGGUCAUGGCUCACCAAGGCGACGACGGGUAGCUGGUCUGAGAGGACGACCAGCCACACUGGAACUGAGACACGGCCCAGACCUCCGUACGGGA